GCAUAAUAGCUUCGGCUCAAAGAGGGGGACCUUCGGGCCUCUCGCGUCAGGAUAUGCCCAGGUGGGAUUAGCUAGUUGGUGAGGUAAGGGCUCACCAAGGCAACGAUCCCUAGCUGGUCUGAGAGGAUGAUCAGCCACACUGGAACUGAGACACGGUCCAGACUCCUACGGGAGGCAGCAGUGGGGAAUAUUGCACAAUGGGCGCAAGCCUGAUGCAGCCAUGCCGCGUGUAUGAAGAAGGCCUUCGGGUUGUAAAGUACUUUCAGUUGUGAGGAAGGUGGUGCCGUUAAUAGCGGUAUCAUUUGACGUUAGCAACAGAAGAAGCACCGGCUAACUCCGUG
This 341-nucleotide ribosomal RNA is filed under the name uncultured Vibrio sp. RNAcentral's name for it is "bacterial SSU rRNA". It matches the Rfam family "Bacterial small subunit ribosomal RNA", at positions 185 to 507 of the family's 1533-position model. The record is from RNAcentral. Lineage: Bacteria; Pseudomonadati; Pseudomonadota; Gammaproteobacteria; Vibrionales; Vibrionaceae.